CAAUGCAUAGUUAGAGGAAACUAAAAGUGAGGAAACCUCACUUCCUUAACAUGUGUUGUGGAGGGAAGCUCGUGUGGGCAAGGAUCAUGCUGUCGAUCCCGAAGUUCAGAGAGUUUUUACUGAAUGUGAGACCUUGUCGCAAUCGGCAUCCACCGGUGAGGGGAGCGUACUUAGUAGAGCACUAGAUGCUCCUGAGUAUCCCGGUCGGGUGAGGGGUAAGGGUCAUGGUGUGACUCCAACCUCUUUUUACAAGAGUCCUAGGAGAAGAAAUCCUUCAAAUGAAGAAGUGUUGCAAAAGUUGGCGGAAUUGCAAGCACAAGUCUCUGAAUUGCAAAGAGAUAAAGAAGCGUAUAUGAGAGAAAAGUGCAACACUUCAUCGGUGAAAGAAACUAGUGAUAAGGCUAGUAUCAACUAUCAAAGGAAAUUUCCCGAGGGCAUUUCAUCUUGCCAACUAUACUUAUCGGAACCGAAUUAUCGACUAGUUGGCAAGGGAAAAGUGCACAACACUUUGGGAGAUUUACUUCACCAUAGACCGCUCCCGGAUGGACACAUGAAAGUAUCGGUGGAUGUUGUAGUAGAUCAUGAUGCGAUGCUACCGGUACCUGACAUGGUCUCAGAGACGACAUUGCUGCGAGAUGCAAUAGGAUCAUUU
Molecule: long non-coding RNA, 652 nt
Organism: Vicia villosa (hairy vetch)
Lineage: Eukaryota; Viridiplantae; Streptophyta; Magnoliopsida; Fabales; Fabaceae
Exons: 3
Source: RefSeq, a predicted model, not a curated record